RNAcentral lists this ribosomal RNA (917 nucleotides) under Monosporozyma servazzii. RNAcentral describes it as "LSU rRNA". It matches the Rfam family "Eukaryotic large subunit ribosomal RNA", at positions 38 to 964 of the family's 3401-position model. The record is from RNAcentral. Lineage: Eukaryota; Fungi; Ascomycota; Saccharomycetes; Saccharomycetales; Saccharomycetaceae.
GCAUAUCAAUAAGCGGAGGAAAAGAACCCAACCGGGAUUGCCUUAGUAACGGCGAGUGAAGCGGCAAAAGCUCAAAUUUGAAAUCUAGUACCUUCGGUGCUCGAGUUGUAAUUUGUAGAGGGAUACUUUGGGGCCGUUCCUUGUCUAUGUUCCUUGGAACAGGGACGUCAUAGAGGGUGAGAAUCCCGUGUGGCGAGGAGUGCGGUUCUAUGUAAAGUGCCUUCGAAGAGUCGAGUUGUUUGGGAAUGCAGCUCUAAGUGGGUGGAAAAUUCCAUCUAAAGCUAAAUAUUGGCGAGAGACCGAUAGCGAACAAGUACAGUGAUGGAAAGAUGAAAAGAACUUUGAAAGAGAGAGUGAAAAAGUACGUGAAAUUGUUGAAAGGGAAGGGCAUUUGAUCAGACAUGGUGUUUUGCGCCCUCUGCUCCUUGUGGGUGGGGGACUCUCGCAGCUCACUGGGCCAACAUCAGUUUUGGUGGUCGGACAAAUCCGUAGGAAUGUAGCUUACCUCGGUAAGUGUUAUAGCCUGCGGGAAUACGGCCAGCCGGGACUGAGGACUGCGACUUUUGUCAAGGAUGUUGGCAUAAUGGUUAUAUGCCGCCCGUCUUGAAACACGGACCAAGGAGUCUAACGUCUAUGCGAGUGUUUGGGUGUAAAACCCGUUACGCGUAAUGAAAGUGAACGUAGGUUGGGGCCCUCUCGGGGGUGCACAAUCGACCGAUCCUGAUGUUUUCAGAUGGAUUUGAGUAAGAGCAUAGCUGUUGGGACCCGAAAGAUGGUGAACUAUGCCUGAAUAGGGUGAAGCCAGAGGAAACUCUGGUGGAAGGCUCGUAGCGGUUCUGACGUGCAAAAUCGAUCGUCGAAUUUGGGUAUAGGGCGAAAGACUAAUCGAAACCUAUCUAGUAGCUGGUUCUAGCUGA